AGCGAACGCUGGCGGCAGGCCUAACACAUGCAAGUCGAACGGAUCCUUCGGGAUUAGUGGCGGACGGGUGAGUAACACGUGGGAACGUGCCUUUUGGUUCGGAACAACUCAGGGAAACUUGAGCUAAUACCGAAUGUGCCCUUCGGGGAAAGAUUUAUCGCCAUUAGAGCGGCCCGCGUCUGAUUAGCUAGUUGGUGAGGUAAAGGCUCACCAAGGCUACGAUCAGUAGCUGGUCUGAGAGGAUGAUCAGCCACAUUGGGACUGAGACACGGCCCAAACUCCUACGGGAGGCAGCAGUGGGGAAUCUUGCGCAAUGGGCGAAAGCCUGACGCAGCCAUGCCGCGUGAAUGAUGAAGGUCUUAGGAUUGUAAAAUUCUUUCACCGGGGACGAUAAUGACGGUACCCGGAGAAGAAGCCCCGGCUAACUUCGUG
This 432-nucleotide ribosomal RNA is filed under the name uncultured bacterium. RNAcentral describes it as "bacterial SSU rRNA". It matches the Rfam family "Bacterial small subunit ribosomal RNA", at positions 29 to 507 of the family's 1533-position model. The record is from RNAcentral.